RNAcentral lists this ribosomal RNA (425 nucleotides) under uncultured bacterium. RNAcentral's name for it is "partial 16S ribosomal RNA". It matches the Rfam family "Bacterial small subunit ribosomal RNA", at positions 354 to 796 of the family's 1533-position model. The record is from RNAcentral.
GUGGGGAAUCUUAGACAAUGGGGGAAACCCUGAUCUAGCCAUGCCGCGUGAGCGAUGAAGGCCUUAGGGUUGUAAAGCUCUUUCAGCUGGGAAGAUAAUGACGGUACCAGCAGAAGAAGCCCCGGCUAACUCCGUGCCAGCAGCCGCGGUAAUACGGAGGGGGCUAGCGUUGUUCGGAAUUACUGGGCGUAAAGCGCGCGUAGGCGGACCAGAAAGUUGGAGGUGAAAUCCCAGGGCUCAACCCUGGAAUGGCCUUCAAAACUCCCAGUCUUGAGGUCGAGAGAGGUGAGUGGAAUUCCGAGUGUAGAGGUGAAAUUCGUAGAUAUUCGGAGGAACACCAGUGGCGAAGGCGGCUCACUGGCUCGAUACUGACGCUGAGGUGCGAAAGCGUGGGGAGCAAACAGGAUUAGAAACCCCGGUAGUCC